CUGUGAUUUUAUCCACUGAAUAAGAGUUUAUAUUCACAUAACAUUCCCUGUUUUAUAUUUAAGGUUUUUGUUUAAACAAAAUUUUAUUCCUCCCAUUGCCAUAGGUGCUUUUCUGAUGUAAGAGAAAACAUAUUAGAAAAUGUAAAUUUUUAAAUAUCUUAAAUACUUUUAUUAAUUUUAGGAGUUAAGAAGUCUCCAUUCCUUUGCUUGGAAUCAGAAGACUUUUUCCCCUGCCUAUAGAGUAGGAGUAAUGUUGGUUAGAAACUGGCUGGUGUUUAAAACUGAAGAUUGUCAUGACUGUUUAACCUAAGCUCCAUGCUGAAGUAAGAUUAAUUGUCUUGGAAAUACUAAAUUGGACACUGAACAUCGUGAUAUAUGAAGAGAUGCUUAUGAAAAUGUCUCUGCCUUUGAGAGUUUCGAGGAUGACUUAAUUUUUUCUGCUAAUCCAUUUUCUAAUUUUUUAUAACAUGACUGUACUUUUUUAAAAAGAAAAACAAAUUUAAAGAAAUCAAGACCUCCUGAGAGAUAGAGCACACCCUGCAACCAUCUACCAGUGAAUGGGCCAGAGCUGAGCUGCUCAGACAGGACUGACCGCAUAAUUUGAGAGACCCAGAACACAGUGAAAAUGAGGCACCUCUUGUUCAAAGAUUAUUAAGAAUUUCAAGACAGCAAAGCAUUAAACCAAGAGUGGGGCCUUCUGGUUGCACAGGUCACACAUGAAGCCAGAUCUGUGCCCAGACCUUCUCCAGCAACUUCCAGAUAAAAGCUUUACCAAGAACUGCUUACAGUCCAAAGGCCCCAGUGCUUCUUCACUGCUUGGGUACCUCUUAGGAGCAAGUAA
This 841-nucleotide long non-coding RNA is filed under the name Monodon monoceros (narwhal). RNAcentral describes it as "lncRNA (ENSMMNG00015009639.1)". Lineage: Eukaryota; Metazoa; Chordata; Mammalia; Artiodactyla; Monodontidae. The record is from RNAcentral.